CUACCCUCUAGCUCAAAUUCAUCCCUGACACCCACCAUUAAGUCUGAUCAGGAUAGAUCUGUUCAGGUGAAUCACAUUCUUACCAAACCAUUUUCAGCUGCCUCUUUCGGUUACGGUCGAAGUUGGGUGUCUAUUCUCCCUCUUGAGCUAGUUGACUUUGUUGAAAUUCUUGGAAAUGCAGCAUCCAAGAGUCCAUGCAACAAUUUAACUAGUCCUGCAAUUGCUUACCAUAAAACAGCUAUUUUUCAACAGCUUUUGUUGCAAGAAAAUAAGCUGCUUAUAAACAACGUGUUUAUCUUGUAAUUCUUGUUUGAGUUGUGUUUUCUAUCACUAACCAAAGCCUCCCUUCACCUUUGAAUCCAUACGACACCUUCCAUCUUUGCUUGAAGCCGCCAUUAAUUGCACCAUCCUCCAACACUUUCAGCUAAGCCACAAGCAAGCCUGCCCUCCAUUUUAACACACCCUUGAGCCAAUCCAACCCUUCAGUUUCCUUCUAUCACCCGUAACCCUCUCCGUCACACACUCGCUACCUCACUUUUGACUAGGAUCAACCUUCCAUCGUCAUCCUACAUCGAACAAUACCCUCACCGAAGUCCCCCAUUCUCCAUCUCUAAACGCGCUGAAAGGAUAAUGGAAAUGAAGCAAAGAAAUAGAACUGAGAAAGGAUGUAUUUUGACUUAAAAGAAAGAGAGAUGAAAGUUUCAACAAAGAAAAAAGAAAGGAUUCUUUUAUUCAAAAAGAUGAUCUGCUGUGAACAAAAUGGCAGGUGAUAGAGAAUGACACUUUCUUUGAACAACCCGCGUGGAGCUCAACAGGAGCAGACCAGGCCCGACCUGACCUGGUGAGGAGCGGCGCAACCACUAGUGAAGAACAGUUUCAACAAGGACUACGGCCCAAAGUUUUGGACUAUUGAUGAAAAUGGCUUAUGGCUUAUGGUGACGUCGAGUACUUAUUAGAAAA
This is a long non-coding RNA of Gossypium arboreum, 960 nucleotides long. RefSeq lists it as uncharacterized. The transcript has 2 exons. The record is from RefSeq and is a predicted model, not a curated record. Lineage: Eukaryota; Viridiplantae; Streptophyta; Magnoliopsida; Malvales; Malvaceae.